UCGCGUCUUACGACGGCAGUUUCACUAGAGUUCCCAGCAUUACCUGAUGGCAACUAGUGAUGGGGGUUGCGCUCGUUGCGGGACUUAACCCAACACCUCACGACACGAGCUGACGACAGCCAUGCACCACCUGUACACCGACCACAAGGGAGGCCCUGUCUCCAGAGCUUUCCGGCGUAUGUCAAGCCUUGGUAAGGUUCUUCGCGUUGCGUCGAAUUAAGCCACAUGCUCCGCCGCUUGUGCGGGCCCCCGUCAAUUCCUUUGAGUUUUAGCCUUGCGGCCGUACUCCCCAGGCGGGGAACUUAAUGCGUUAGCUGCGGCACGGACGACGUGGAAUGUCGCCCACACCUAGUUCCCAACGUUUACGGCGUGGACUAC
This 378-nucleotide unclassified non-coding RNA is filed under the name uncultured Actinomycetes bacterium. RNAcentral's name for it is "uncultured actinobacterium contains 16S-23S intergenic spacer region". The record is from RNAcentral. Lineage: Bacteria; Bacillati; Actinomycetota; Actinomycetes.